Molecule: long non-coding RNA, 251 nt
Organism: Rhipicephalus microplus (southern cattle tick)
Lineage: Eukaryota; Metazoa; Arthropoda; Arachnida; Ixodida; Ixodidae
Source: RefSeq, a predicted model, not a curated record
UCCUUGCUUGAUCCUGGCGCAGUUCAUAGGCAUAUGGGUUGCUUCGCACGGCUACGAAUGGACAGUUGACGUGGAUUCACGGAAUCCUGCAGAGGUCCCGCACAGAAUCAUGGGGAAGCAUGGAGCCAAAAUGGGCGUCAUCAGCCAGGAUUGCGACGACGGACAGAACCACAUAGACGUAGACUUUGGUGGAUCACCUGAGGAGUACACCUGUACCAUGAAAGACUUGCUGUGGUAUGUCAGUGUCGGAG